RNAcentral lists this ribosomal RNA (519 nucleotides) under uncultured bacterium. RNAcentral describes it as "partial 16S ribosomal RNA". It matches the Rfam family "Bacterial small subunit ribosomal RNA", at positions 899 to 1397 of the family's 1533-position model. The record is from RNAcentral.
ACUCAAAUGAAUUGACGGGGACCCGCACAAGCGGUGGAACAUGUGGUUUAAUUCGAUGCUACGCGAAGAACCUCACCAAGGCUUGACAUGCUCGUCGUACCCUGAUGAAAGUCGGGGGUCAUUUAGUUGGACGAUGCACAGGUGCUGCAUGGCUGUCGUCAGCUCGUGUCGUGAGAUGUUGGGUUAAGUCCCGCAACGAGCGCAACCAUUGCCCUAUGUUGCUACCUUCAUUAACUUACGUAAGUAAGCGUGGAGCGCACUCUUAGGGGACUGCCCGGGAUAACCGGGAGGAAGGUGGAGAUGACGUCAAGUCAGUACGGCCCUUAUGCCUUGGGCUACACACGUGUUACAAUGCACAGUACAAAGGGUUGCCAACCCGCGAGGGGGAGCUAAUCUCAAAAAGCUGUGCCCAGUUCGGAUUAGAGUCUGCAAUUCGACUCUAUGAAGCCGGAAUCGCUAGUAAUGGAAGAUCAGCUCGCUUCCGUGAAUACGUUCCCGGGUCUUGUACACACCGCCCGU